UGAUUACUUAAAUAUCAGGUGUGUAUAGGGAUGAUAAUAAGCAGUACAAGGUACAAACGAUAUUUUUCAUACUACAAAUGUACUUAGUGAUAUUAUGUGUGUUUUAUGAAACUGAAUAAGACAGUAGCUUUUAGAUUUUAGUGAGAUGUAAUGCGUUUUAUUAGUUGGAAGUGAAUAUCGAAGCGUUUUGACUUUUACAGUAAUGUACAUAUGGAAAAAAGCCUUUAAAAUUAUGAAUAAACGUCUUAACGUAUUGGUUUAACUGAACAGUCGCAGUGCGUGUAUAGUGCUCUUAAUUUUGUGGUGAAUACUCCGGACAGAGUUGAUAUAUUUACCAAUAUCUGGAAAAUUGAUUCAAAGGCGAUAUAGACCUUAUCACUAGUUUGAAAUAUGCGCCACUUGACCCCAUAAUAUAUGCCUCUUGAACUAAUGACGUCAUACACCAAUCACUUUUCCAUGGAUGCGUCAGAUAUUUACUAUUAUAACAUCAAAUUUUACGGGAACCUUUAUGAUGUCCAGUAAUAUCGGACAAAACGGAUAAGUUGUAUUAUACUGGUUUGUUAACUUUAUUCUUACUCUACUUUCAUCUUGCAUUUGUUGCACAGUUGCAUACAGUAUACCUGUUAGAUGAUUUCCCUUACAUAACUACAACAGGAGGUGUAACCAAGAUUCAGUUGAGUGAAUAAUAUAAAUAAAAGGGUGCAACAUUAUUGAUAAGCAGUGAAUUCAUGUUCAAGAACCCGUAUCAAACCACAGAAGUAUUAACUGCAGGAUGUAUAAUCGAAUCGAUGUAGUGAAACGACACCACAUUAUAUUAUAGUGUUCAAAACCUGGUUUGCCUAAAUACAUGGGUCCUAUGUAUAUCCAUGAAUUGUCUCUUGUUUUGAAUGAUAAAAUUCGUUCAGAUUACGCAAUACGACAUUGGCUACUUUUUCCAAGAUAUAAAGUAACAUUAUUCUCAGCUGCAUCGAUAAAAUACAUCACCGAUAUGGUAAUAAGGUUAGAUAUCGAUGCCUUACGAGAAGAGGUAGAUAAGGCGGUUCUAAUGUUCGUCGAUAAAUACAGAGCAGAAAUAAUCCUGGUGCCAUUAGUACUAUGUUUAAUUAUAGUUUUGAGUUCUUGUAUAGGUAGUAUUUGCGCACAUUUUCUUGUAAAGUUGUGUACGCGAUACUGUUGCAAGCGUCCAAAAUAUAAAAGAAGGCGUCGUCGAAGAUAUUCCUUUAGACAAUGUUCAAGCGAUGAUGCUGAUGAUGACACUGAGGAUGAUGAUGAUGUAAAUAUAUCACAACAGAUAAAUCAAAAAUAUAAUUUAAAAA
This 1316-nucleotide long non-coding RNA is filed under the name Mytilus galloprovincialis (Mediterranean mussel). The record is from RNAcentral. Lineage: Eukaryota; Metazoa; Mollusca; Bivalvia; Mytilida; Mytilidae.